GUUUACAAUAGCCAGGACAUGGAAACAACCUAAAUGUCCAUCAGCAAAGGAAUGGAUAAAGAAGAUGUGGUACAUAUAUACAAUGGAAUAUUAUUCAGCCAUAAAAAGGAAAGAAAUUGGGUCACUGGAGAGACAUGGAUGGACAUAGAGACUGUCAUACAGAGCAAAGGCCAAGAACCAAAGUGGACGCAGGCAACUCUGUCAGCUGCAGAGUCAGUUACCUGGACCCCAGCAUUGCAGGAGGUGCUCUAGAGAGAGAAAGAGAAUGGCUUUGGGGUCUGACAAUCUCAGCCUUGCUGCCAAUUUGCUUUAUGACUGUGAGGAAAUGCCCCAGAGUUUCAUUCCUAGACAAGACAGAGGCCCGGUGACCUCAGAGUCACCAGGUUUAACAAGAUGCAAGCGGCACACCUGAGACAACGAAUGCUGAUUCUGUUGCCAAAGUUGAUUCUUGCAUGUUCAUCUCUGACAGAAUUUUCGUGCUAUGUAGAAAGACCACCACAAGCAAAAGAUUCCCCAAGUGGUCUUUUCCUAAAAGCAGUGAUUGGAGGUUAUGGGAACAGUGUGAAGGAAGACAAGAAUGUUGAAGUUCAUCUUCAGGAAAAAAACAAAACAAAACAAGGACAGAUGCUUAAUAUUUCAUGCCUUAUAGGAUAUCAUAAACUAGAAGCCAGACACUAUGACAGUAAGAUAGUAAAAAUCUUAAUAAAUUUUGUAGACAGCCCACAUUUAUUCAUUUUGCUAUCACCUUUUAAUUUCUCCACAAUGAUUCACAUUUAAGCCCUUAAAACAUGAAAAGAAAGUGGUCUCUUGGGAGAACAAGAAGAAAGAAUGGAGUCAGAGAUAUUACAUCUUUCCAUUUCAACAGCCAGGCAUGGAGGAGAGUGAUCUUUUGGGAUUGAGUCAUUUACAUGGAGGAGGAGAGAAGGAAAUGAGUCAUCACAGUCUGUGAAACAGAAAGAAAAGAAAGAAAAGGAACCAAGGAAUAACAAGGCUCAUCCCAUAUCUUCCUGGAGUAUAUACUUGACUUAGAACAUGAACUUUCAAUCAGCAGUCAUUUGAAACUGUCUUAUAAUGAGUUACACAGUUCUCUAAGAAAACCACAAGACAAAAUGAAUGGCACUUUUCAUUAUUUUGAGAAGGAGCAAAGGAACAAGACAGCUUGAGCCAAGACAACUCAUUACACCAAGAGCACAUAAGACGCACAGACCAAAGCGUCUUCUGAUCCUUUCUACAAUACUCUCUUGCUUUGUGAAAGUUAACUCCUUUGGCUUUCUGAAGGAUUCUUCAGUAGACAAUUUAUUCAAAGAAAAAUGGGUAUGUUUCCAAAACAGAGAUAUGGAGAUAAGGACACUUCAAAUAAGAUGGAGCCCAGGGGCAACUCAAACCUUACCCCACACCUACUUUUAUUCUGCGUGGGAAUAAAAAUGUGGGCAAAGACAAGAAGUUCAUCAAAGGACAACACUGACCUUGAAUUUCUACCAAAGAAGACGAUCAGGGUUCAAAACCUGAAGAAAUUUCACACUCUUAGAGCCAUACCUUUUUUUUUUUUGGAAAUUAAGGAUUUCAAAUGGAAAAGAGGAAAGAUCUUAUCACUGUGGGUAGAAACUAAGUAAAUGUAUUUUUCACAUUUAAAGUACAUGAGUAAGACUUUUGUCAAAUCAAGAUACGUCUCGAUGAAGAAUCACAAGGAGAAAUGUGAAGAGAAACGAGGAAAAAAUUUUUUUAAAGUAUAUGUUUUCUGACAUAAGGGCAAACAAAAUACAGAUGAUUGUUUCAUAUAAGAAGAAAAAGGAAACAAUGAAAAUGAAGCCUCUUUCCUGUGACUGUAAAGCUGAAAAAGACAAAUUUGGGGAUAGUGACGAAUAAAAAAGAGUGACGGAAUCCAGUGGCCAGUGAAUGGUAAUCGCACUUAUCCUAAAGGAAUGUCUGGAAAAAUGUUUCCAGUGGAAGCUGGUGCAUGGCUGGUACCCUGAUGAAAAUGAAAGUGGGGCGCCCCAGCCAGCCAAGGGAGGAGGAUGAGAGGGAACGUUCCGGUGGCCAGGACAGAUGAUAAAAGCUGAGCAGCCACAACCAGUGCCAGAUCUGGGACAGUCUGGAGGGAGAGGACGCCAAGGUGGAGUCCGAGCUGUCGAAGCUCAUACUGCUCGCCCCACGACGGGCAAAUAAAUUGAGAGGUGAGUUGUUGGGACAAGGAAUAUCGACUUUAUUCAGAAAGUCAGCAGAUGGAGAACGUGGUGGACUCGUGUCCCAAAGAAUCAUCUUGCCUGAGUCAGAAUUCAGGCUUCUUUUAUACUAAAACGAGAGGAAAUAAAGUCAAGCAUUUCCUGGUUCUGGUCAGCCUCUGGAGGAGAUGUGUUCAUUUCUUCCUCCCUGCAGUUAUUCACAGACAAACAAAGAUGGAAAACAUACUGUUUGUGUUCUCAAGAAAUUUACAAUCUAAUGAUGGGGGUCGAAUGCCCAGAAUGCUGGAAGACAGGCAGAA
This is a long non-coding RNA of Physeter macrocephalus (sperm whale), 2482 nucleotides long. RefSeq lists it as uncharacterized. The record is from RefSeq and is a predicted model, not a curated record. Lineage: Eukaryota; Metazoa; Chordata; Mammalia; Artiodactyla; Physeteridae. The transcript has 6 exons.